AUUGAACGCUGGCGGCAUGCCUUACACAUGCAAGUCGAACGGUAACAGGUUAAGCUGACGAGUGGCGAACGGGUGAGUAAUGUACCGGAACGUGCCCAGUCGUGGGGGAUAACUGCUCGAAAGAGCAGCCAAUACCGCAUACGACCUGAGGGUGAAAGCGGGGGAUCGCAAGACCUCGCGCGAUUGGAGCGGCCGAUAUCCGAUUAGGUAGUUGGUGAGGUAAAGGCUCACCAAGCCGACGAUCUGUAGCUGGUCUGAGAGGACGACCAGCCACACUGGGACUGAGACACGGCCCAGACUCCUACGGGAGGCAGCAGUGGGGAAUUUUGGACAAAGGGCGCAAGCCUGAUCCAGCCAUGCCGCGUGCGGGAAGAAGGCCUUCGGGUUGUAAACCGCUUUUGUCAGGGAAGAAAAGGUUCUGGCUAAUACCUGGGACUCAUGACGGUACCUGAAGAAUAAGCACCGGCUAACUACGUG
Molecule: ribosomal RNA, 477 nt
Filed under: uncultured bacterium
Lineage: Bacteria
Description: partial 16S ribosomal RNA
Rfam family: Bacterial small subunit ribosomal RNA
Source: RNAcentral